UACGUAGGGACCGAGCGUUGUCCGGAAUCAUUGGGCGUAAAGAGCGUGUAGGCGGCCACUUAAGUCCUGCGUGAAAUCUUGCGGCUCAACCGCAAGCGGUCGUGGGAAACUGGGUGGCUAGAGUGCGGGAGAGGAGAGUGGAAUUCCUGGUGUAGCGGUGGAAUGCGCAGAUAUCAGGAAGAACACCCGUGGCGAAGGCGGCUCUCUGGAACGCAACUGACGCUGAGACGCGAAAGCGUGGGGAGGCAAACAGG
This 254-nucleotide ribosomal RNA is filed under the name uncultured bacterium. RNAcentral's name for it is "partial 16S ribosomal RNA". It matches the Rfam family "Bacterial small subunit ribosomal RNA", at positions 524 to 776 of the family's 1533-position model. The record is from RNAcentral.